This 253-nucleotide ribosomal RNA is filed under the name uncultured bacterium. RNAcentral describes it as "partial 16S ribosomal RNA". It matches the Rfam family "Bacterial small subunit ribosomal RNA", at positions 524 to 776 of the family's 1533-position model. The record is from RNAcentral.
UACGUAGGGUGCGAGCGUUAAUCGGAAUUAUUGGGCGUAAAGAGCUCGUAGGCGGCUUGUCGCGUCGACCGUGAAAACUUGGGGCUCAACCCCAAGCCUGCGGUCGAUACGGGCAGGCUCGAGUUCGGUAGGGGAGACUGGAAUUCCUGGUGUAGCGGUGAAAUGCGCAGAUAUCAGGAGGAACACCGAUGGCGAAGGCAGGUCUCUGGGCCGAUACUGACGCUGAGGAGCGAAAGCGUGGGGAGCGAACAGG